Molecule: long non-coding RNA, 1104 nt
Organism: Vespa mandarinia (Asian giant hornet)
Lineage: Eukaryota; Metazoa; Arthropoda; Insecta; Hymenoptera; Vespidae
Source: RefSeq, a predicted model, not a curated record
UCGAUCAUUCAUUCAAUCGAGAAAUAUCGAUGUUUACAAACUCUUGUAUUGGGCUUCUUAUCGUUCUUAUCCAUUUUAAUAAUAGAGAAACUAAGAAUGAGGCAACAUCGUUCGUAUCUUUUCUACUUUCAUGCGAGAGAAAUAAUAUUUCUACGAUUCCACGACGCCAUAUUUUUUUUUCUUCUUUUCUUUCUUUUUUUUUUUUUUUUUUUUUUUUUUUAUCGCUAAUACUAUCAUAAAUAUUUUUAACUUCAGAUAGAUUUAUUUAGAUUUGAUUUAUGAUUGAACAUUUCUCAUAUAAACGACGAUUAUCAAGUAUUAUUGGGCAAUGAUGCUUUAAGUAUAAUUCCUAUUGACUUGUUGUAGUGCUGGAGCAUAAACAUAUGCCAUUGUAUACAAAUAAAAAUUGAGAAGACCAUAUAGAGCCAUAAAUUGUGCUGAUGUGCGAUAGUAUGUAGAAAGACGCGAAGCAAAACUAUCUUCAAGAACUCCUGCACCAAAUUGACGAGAAGUAACUAAACUGCAAACACCAGCAACUACUCCAGCAAGUAAUGUUAAAAAUCUUAAGCGUAAAUCUAUAAAAAAAAAAAAAAAAAUAAUUGUUAUAUACAAUGAAAAAUAAAUUGAUGUCAUUUAUUUAUGCGCAUUAUUUACCAAAAUAUGGCAUGGAUCUUAAUUCACUGUAUGCCUUUAAUAUAAGUAGAAGAAGAUAUGCAAUGUAAAAGCCACCUACUGUAAAGAAGAAUACUUUAAAACCCUGUAACACAAAAAAAUCAAAAUUAUAUUACAUAUUAUUUUAUGUUAUAAAAACAUAAUUGGAGCUUAUAUAUUGUUUACAUAAUAAUUUGAUGUAUCAAGAACAUAAUUGUAUGUUGGAUCCUCUAAUUCGGUACAACGAAGCCAUGUUGCCAAUGUUAGAGCUGCCGCCCAAAGAAGACCCACAACCAACAUUUUUGGUACCCAGGAAUUUAUUAAAAAUAUCAUGGGAAAUAAAGGAUCUGUGUAAACAAAAAAUACAAUCCAUAGUAGUGUUUCAUAAAAUCUUAAGUUAAGGUGAAUAGUAUUAUUGUGUAUAUGAAUUAGUUCAUAUAACUUACUAUUAUA